GGCUCCGGCCCUAUCAGCCUGAAGGCGCCCGAUCUCGUCUAAUCUCGGAAGCUAAGCAGGGUCGGGCCUGGUUAGUAUCUUGGAUGGGAGACCACCUGGGAAUCCCGGGUGCUCGAGGCU
Ribosomal RNA from Bison bison bison, 120 nucleotides. Lineage: Eukaryota; Metazoa; Chordata; Mammalia; Artiodactyla; Bovidae. The record is from Ensembl.